ACGGGUUCUCUCUCUUCCUCUACCUCUCUCUUCCUCUUCCUCUCUAUUCUGAAAAAUCUUCUUCUGCAUCUUCCUCCAUACCCAUAAAUUGUUAUUACAGUUUUAUUUUUGAUUUUAAUAGGUGACUAAAUCAUACAUCGAGUUUAACAAAUCUCAAAGGUGUGGUGAUAUUCGUCGCUGGGUUGUUUUGACGGAGCCGUUUUCUCCUAUCAGAAAGCACUAACAGUGUACAAAACUACUAAGAGUUAUAGAAGAUUUGUCGGUGUUGGUUCACGGCAGGCGACGGAGUAUUCUGAAACAGAAAUUCAAGAGAAGACAUCGCACCUCCCCACUCUAUCGGUGUACUAUGGUUGGUAAACCGCGUCUUUAAAAGUGUUUUGAAUUUCACUUAUUUACUUUCAGUUAGAGAUGAAUGGCCAAGAUUAAAUACGAUGGAGGUUAGUUAUCAAUUCUGUUACUCUUUUCUCUCUCUGCAAUUUCUGUUUGUGAGUUUUUUUUUUUUGCAAUAUAUGUUAAAAUGGUUCUGUUAUACAGAUUUUUGUUUUGCUUUUGUGCAGAAUUUUGGCUAUGAUUUGCUGUUAGUUUUGAUGCGGUUUUAGUUUAAGUGCUGGUUGAUUUAUUUGCACUUCUCGGUAUGCCUAGAUGUAUGAACCAGUUUGUAUUAAUGGGUUGCGUGGCUCGGUUUUGGUAAGGAACCGGUUUGGGAGUUGUUAUUACUUAUUGGUGUAGAUUUUCCUGGUUUGUGGAUCUGUUAAUAGCAUCUUUGUAGAUGCUUAAUACUGGUUGUUUGGAAUUAUAUUUUCAACCAAAUGGAAAUGGAGAUAUAUUUUAGUGGUUAUAUGGAGAUUUGGUUUGAGUCUCCAAAUUCAUGUGCUUUCUAUUUAGAGAUUAGUUAGUUUAAUUUUCUUAUUUUACUCUAUCAAUUGUUAUCAGACUAAGAAGAAAUUACUUAAAUUUUGAUAGAAGAAAGAUCAUGAGUUUUACAAAAUAAUUAGCAUUGAUGAUAUUGAUAAUUUUGCAGAUUAUAAAGAGGAGGUUGUUUUAAGCUUAGGGGAUCUUAAAAGUUUCGGUUUCAGAGAACUCCAACAUGCAAUUUAGAGUUUCAGCUCCAAGAAUAUACUGGGUGCUGGAGGUUUUAGCAAUGUUAUUGAUUUUAUGUUUUAAUGUUUUUUUUUAAUUUUAAAUAUUCGAAAUAAAUUACUUAUGGAAUUGAAAAUUUUAAUUUAUUACUAUUUAAU
Molecule: long non-coding RNA, 1238 nt
Organism: Vicia villosa (hairy vetch)
Lineage: Eukaryota; Viridiplantae; Streptophyta; Magnoliopsida; Fabales; Fabaceae
Exons: 4
Source: RefSeq, a predicted model, not a curated record